UCCCCUGUAGCUUGGUUGGUAAAGAAUCUGCCUGCAAUGCAGGAGACCUGGGUUCGAUUCCUGGGUCGGGAA
Molecule: transfer RNA, 72 nt
Filed under: Bos taurus (domestic cattle)
Lineage: Eukaryota; Metazoa; Chordata; Mammalia; Artiodactyla; Bovidae
Also listed under: 4 other names
Rfam family: tRNA
About the family: Transfer RNA (tRNA) molecules are approximately 80 nucleotides in length. Their secondary structure includes four short double-helical elements and three loops (D, anti-codon, and T loops).
Source: Rfam by way of RNAcentral